This 371-nucleotide ribosomal RNA is filed under the name uncultured Hydrogenophaga sp. RNAcentral's name for it is "bacterial SSU rRNA". It matches the Rfam family "Bacterial small subunit ribosomal RNA", at positions 1008 to 1382 of the family's 1533-position model. The record is from RNAcentral. Lineage: Bacteria; Pseudomonadati; Pseudomonadota; Betaproteobacteria; Burkholderiales; Comamonadaceae.
GGCUUCGUGCUACGAAAGAGAGCCGUAACACAGGUGCUGCAUGGCUGUCGUCAGCUCGUGUCGUGAGAUGUUGGGUUAAGUCCCGCAACGAGCGCAACCCUUGUCAUUAGUUGCUACGAAAGGGCACUCUAAUGAGACUGCCGGUGACAAACCGGAGGAAGGUGGGGAUGACGUCAAGUCCUCAUGGCCCUUAUAGGUGGGGCUACACACGUCAUACAAUGGCUGGUACAAAGGGUUGCCAACCCGCGAGGGGGAGCCAAUCCCAUAAAGCCAGUCGUAGUCCGGAUCGCAGUCUGCAACUCGACUGCGUGAAGUCGGAAUCGCUAGUAAUCGUGGAUCAGCAUGUCACGGUGAAUACGUUCCCGGGUCUU